UUACGGCCACAUCACGUUGAAACACCGCUUCUCUUAUAAUCACCCAAGUUAAGCAACGUCAGACCUGGUCAGUACGUAGAUGGGUGACCGCUUGGGAUUAACAGUGUUGUG
Molecule: non-coding RNA, 111 nt
Organism: Acanthosepion pharaonis
Lineage: Eukaryota; Metazoa; Mollusca; Cephalopoda; Sepiida; Sepiidae
Source: the annotation of a GenBank genome assembly